GUCUCAGGCCGUAUCAGCCUGAAGGCGCCCGAUCUCGUCUGAUCUCGGAAGCUAAGCAGGGUCGGGCCUGGUUAGGAUCUUGGACGGAGACCACCUGGGAAUCCCGGGUGCUCGAGGCU
RNAcentral lists this ribosomal RNA (119 nucleotides) under Bison bison bison. Lineage: Eukaryota; Metazoa; Chordata; Mammalia; Artiodactyla; Bovidae. The record is from RNAcentral.